AUUUGGAUGGAUUUGAGUCAUUUACAGGUGAAUUUAGGAAUGUUGAGAAAAAAAAAUCACAACUAGACAUGUAUUUGGAGGAGGCUCGACUUGAUAGAAAAGAAGAACUUGACAUUUUACAGUAUUGGAAGGAUAAUCAAGGGAGAUAUCCUCAAUUGUCUCUCAUGGCUCGUGAUAUAUUGAGCAUCCCAAUCACUACCGUUGCCUCAGAAUCAUCUUUUCUUAUUGGGGGUCGGGUUCUAAGUAAAUAUUGAUCUUCAUUACUCUCAUUGAAUGUUGAGGAUUUGCUAUGCACUCGUGAUUGGUUGUUUGAUUUAGAAGAUGAUGAAAACGAGAAUGAUAUCGAGGAAGGACUUGUAGAAGAUAUUGAAUCAUUGUAUCCGACAUAUGAUGAUAGCCACGUUUAGGGUGGAGGAUAUAUUCAAGGUGAUCUGAAACAGUAAAGGGGAUGAAAAAGAUGCCGAUAUUGCAGUUCGUGUCUUUUUUUUUUUGCAGUAGGGAGCUUUUUAAUAUGUAUUAAAAUUCUUUUAACAACUCUAUUAAUAGUAUUUGCUUACAUUAUGGUACAUUAUAUGAUUGAUUAAAUGCCA
Molecule: long non-coding RNA, 590 nt
Organism: Helianthus annuus (common sunflower)
Lineage: Eukaryota; Viridiplantae; Streptophyta; Magnoliopsida; Asterales; Asteraceae
Exons: 3
Source: RefSeq, a predicted model, not a curated record